Molecule: transfer RNA, 87 nt
Filed under: Porphyromonas bennonis
Lineage: Bacteria; Pseudomonadati; Bacteroidota; Bacteroidia; Bacteroidales; Porphyromonadaceae
Also listed under: 5 other names
Rfam family: tRNA
About the family: Transfer RNA (tRNA) molecules are approximately 80 nucleotides in length. Their secondary structure includes four short double-helical elements and three loops (D, anti-codon, and T loops).
Source: RNAcentral
GCCCGAAUGGUGGAAUCGGUAGACACGAAGGACUUAAACUCCUUUGACCCGAAUAAGGUCGUGCGGGUUCAAGUCCCGCUUCGGGCA